This 476-nucleotide long non-coding RNA is filed under the name Zostera marina. RNAcentral describes it as "long non-coding RNA (ZMAR_LNC000806)". Lineage: Eukaryota; Viridiplantae; Streptophyta; Magnoliopsida; Alismatales; Zosteraceae. The record is from RNAcentral.
UCUGCUGAUAAUUGACAUAAGUAUGCCACUUGCUGCUAGAAAUUAAUUUCUAUAAUGAUCCUUUGGCCAAGGCUUCUGAUGGUAGAAAGGGUUCACCCUGGAUUCUUACUGUUGCCCUCUCCCAUAUAAACUCCAUGGUCAACGUUCUGUAGUUUGUAAGAACUGAUCCUAGAGUCUCCAACUAUUGCACUCCUAACACGACAUUUGCUCCUUCCAUGAGUAAUACAAAUAAGUCCGCUUUAAUUUGGGUUCCUUGGCAAAGAAUCUCAACUCCUCUACAAACUUCAUUGCAAAUAAGAAAUUCUCCGGAACCGAUGUAGACCCGAAAAUCUUGCAGUUUCUCCGUCUGGCAUCCCCAUUUCUCAAGUAGUGAUUUUUGUACGAAAUUAUGUGUGCUUCCGCUAUCCACCAAUAUUCCCACACUUUGGCCAUUAAUUUCACCUUGUACUCUCAAUGUUCUUGGAUUAAAUGUUCCG